RNAcentral lists this ribosomal RNA (253 nucleotides) under uncultured bacterium. Its description in RNAcentral is "partial 16S ribosomal RNA". It matches the Rfam family "Bacterial small subunit ribosomal RNA", at positions 524 to 776 of the family's 1533-position model. The record is from RNAcentral.
UACAGAGGGUGCAAGCGUUAAUCGGAAUUACUGGGCGUAAAGCGCGCGUAGGUGGUUUGAUAAGUUGGAUGUGAAAUCCCCGGGCUUAACCUGGGUCGGUCAUCCAAAACUGUCAGACUAGAGUAUGGUAGAGGGUAGUGGAAUUCCUAGUGUAGCGGUGAAAUGCGUAGAUAUUAGGAGGAACACCAGUGGCGAAGGCGACUGCCUGGACUGAUACUGACACUGAGGUGCGAAAGCGUGGGUAGCGAACAGG